Ictidomys tridecemlineatus (thirteen-lined ground squirrel) is the source of this 3489-nucleotide non-coding RNA. Lineage: Eukaryota; Metazoa; Chordata; Mammalia; Rodentia; Sciuridae. The record is from RefSeq and is a predicted model, not a curated record.
GGGGGUGUGAGGUGGGGGCGCUGGGUGGCCUCCCAGAGCAGCAGAGGCCAAGAGUGAGGAAGGCUGGCACCAGGGCCCGCGUGAAGGGGCUGGCGGCCGCGAAGGAGCCGCGGACCGAGGGCGAGGCGGGCUGGGCGGCCAUGGGGCUCCUGCAUCCUGGGGCCUGAGGUCGAGGAGACGCACCGCGGAAUUCAGCCAGGGCUGGGGCUCUGCCAGGUUUACGCAGCAACAGAGUCAGGGCUUGGGAUGUGGAGCCUGUGCCGGGCGCACGAGUGACGUAGAGGGCACGCGCGGUGGCUCGCCUCGGCGGCUGGGGCGACCGUGGCCUGCCGGGGAGUGAGAGUGGAGACGCGAGGGAGGUCCAGAUGGGCUGGAGGCCUGGGAUAGCGGCUGACUGGCGCGUGGGGACGGGGCAUGGCAGUCCGCUGAGUCUGGUCAGCUGCUGGGAUGGGACUGUGGCGUGGGGAUUGGCUGGAGGCCCUGGUCUGGGCGAAGACAGUGACUUUCUUUUAAUGUGCCGAGAUUGAGGAACCCCAAUGCUGAGGCGACCUUUGUUCAAGAGGCAGGGCCUCGACCUGAAGCCUGGAGGGACAGGCUGGAGUCAGCCAGAGCACAGAUGGCACAGGCUCCCAGGGGUGGCUGAGCACAGCUGAGCACAGGCAGCCUCCCCAGGUGACUGACAGCUCAGAGGACCGAUAUGGGGGAAGGCGGGGCUUGAGGACACUGGAGCGUGGGGGUGGUACACUGGCCCCCUCCCUGGGGAGAUGGGUUAGAACGAGGGAGGCCAGAGUUGCUGGAGGGACCAGAGCCAGCUGGUGGAGGCCUCCUGAAGCUUGUGGCAGUGGGGUUGAUGGUCUUGGCCUCCACCUGCCCAGUGAAGCCAGAGUCUGAGCUUGAGGUUUGAGGACCCCUGCAUGGGUCUUAAUUCCUCUGAUCUUUGGAAAAUCCCACUUGGAGUCUGUAAACAGCAACGUACUUACUCAGAGAUAAUGACCCUGACUCAAACACCAAAGCUCUUGGGUCCUCCCAGUGGAAGCCCAUUUUACAAGGGAGAUCAUCACCUUAAAUAAGACAUCACAUGGGCGAUGCCCAAGUUGGUCCAGCUGAUUCCUGUCUCUCCCAAGACCCCAGGCCUUCUAAGUUGUGCCCUGAUUUCAACCUCAGAGGUAGGUUUGGAUACUGUCUCCAUUUUCAGGUGAAGAAUCGGGCUUCCAUAGUGAAAGACAUGUUCAAAUUUAUUCAGUAAAUGGUGAAGCUGCCUUAGAUCCAGGUCUGACUCUGGCCUGCCUGCCUUAGUGCAAACAAGCAAACAGACUCCAAGGAACUGUGUGACCUGUGAGAUCACACUGUCAUCAGUGGCUACCCAGGCCAGUGGUACUUCACCCUCAUGUGACAGCCCAGCCAAGGCCAGCUGUCUGCUUUUACUCAGGCUCAUGUGUCCAAGUCAGGAGCCACAGAAUAGCAGGAAUGAGAGGGUAGGAGUGGAGCUGCGAGGAGCAUGCUUGACCAAGGGCCAGAAGCUUCUCAGAGCUGAAACUCCCACACCUGUUUCUCAGCACCCAGCAGCUAUACUUGCCACAGACUCAGUCCCUGAACAUGGUCUGCAUGGGAGACACACCCAGUGGCAAAGCAAAGAUGACACUGUAGGCAUCCAGAGGAAAGGUUAUUCACUCAAAGGAUAUUUACUGAGCACCUGCCAUGUGCCACACCCUGUCUUGGUGCUGGGAUAGAGCAGGAUCCAAGCAUCUAGAAAAGCUUGGGGACUAGAGAUGUAGUACAGUGGCAGAGUUCUUGCCUAGCACAUAUAGGCCCUGAGUUCCAAUCCCAGCACUGCAAUCAAUCAAUCAGUCAGUCAAUCAAUCACCUUGGCCAUAGGGGCUUGCCUUUUAAUGGAAAAGAAAAAGAAAAGAAAGUUUUCAAAAAUAACAUGACAUUAAAUUUAAAACCACAAUGAGAUACCACUAGACACAACAAAAUGGAUAAAAUAAAGGGAAUGACAACACUGAACAGUGACAAAGAUACAAAGCAACUAGAAUUCCCAUAUAUUGUUGACAGGUGCCAAAAGUGGGAAAAUGCUCUGGAAAAAUGGCUGGUAAACACUCCUGCCCGACAACCCAGCAAUUCCUAGGUAUGUCCAAGUGAAACAAAAGAAAUAUAUCACACGAUGACUGUCACAGGAAAUGUUCACAGCAGCUUUGUUCACAGUUGCCCCAAACUGAAAUCAGCUCAGUUAACCAUCAAUGGAAGAUUGAAUAAACAAUCUGGUACGUCCAUGUCCAUUCGAAGGAACCUCGUGGGCAGGUUGAGGAAAUGAUCCGCUGCCUCAGAGAUGGUGGUGGCGGAGGAGGAGGAUUUGCUCUACUACUGAGAUAUCCCACCACUGGGCUAACUCACCCUGAGCCCAUUUUUUUUUUUUUUUUAAAGACAGGAUCUCACUAAAUUGUUGAGGUUGGCUGGAACUUGCCAUCCUCCUGCCUCAGCCUCUUGAGUAGCUGGAAUUACAGGCCUAUGCCACAGUGCUCAGCCUAAAGUGAAUGAAUCUCAAAAACUUUAUGUUGAGUGCAAUUACAUUAGACCAUUUGAGAAGUUCUCCUUGAAACCACAGUUGACCCUUGCAAGACCUGAAGAAGGUGAAGGGAUGAAUCACACAGAGAUUUUGGAAGAAUAUUCCAGGCUGAAGCCAAGAAGGCUCGUCAGGCCAGACUGACGGAGGCAAGGCCAGAGCAGGGGCACCCAAGAGGAGAAGGUGGCGGCUCUGGCCUGGAUGGCAAUGGUGGAGGUGGAAUCACUGGAUUUGAGGAUGGACUGGGUGUGAGGUAGGUGGGAGUGGGAAAGGAAAGGAAGGGGUCACGGAUGAUUCUGAGGUUUUUGACCUAAAAAAUGGAGACAGAAAAGAUUACAACUGGAACACUUUUGGGUGGAAAUCAUGGAUUUGUUCUGGGCAGGGCAAGUUUAGGGUUUCUGUUAGGCAGUCAAGUAGAGACAUGGAAGCCAAGCCACACCAUGGGAUUCAGUUAGAUGGGGCAGCCCAGGGGCCAGUGAGCAGGGAAACCAGAGCCUAGAGGGAUCAGCCUGCUGAGGUCAAGUGAGAAGGACGAGGGCACACCUUAGGGUGUAGGGGAUUAGCCCUCCUCCCCAGCUCCAGCGCCAGCGCCAGGUCAGGGCUGCCUGAUGAAAGACAGGUGGAACCACUUCCCCAAGGCCAUGGCUGACCCAGUUCUUUCUGCUGCCCCUAAUGGCUCUGAUUCUACUCAGUGUCCUGUGACAAUGUGAAGUUUGUCUAUAUUGACACACAGCUUUGGGCCAAGAGUAAACUGAGACCCCGGGACAUGUCUGUCUCCUGGCAAAUAAGGUUUUAUUGGGAUGCAGCAGCAAAUCCAGAGGCUUGGGCUGGGGUGUAGCUCAGUAGUAGAGUGCCUCUCAGAUGUGAGGCCCUGGGUUCAAUCCUCAGCAAAGCCAAAAAAAACAAAACCAAAUGAACAAAAAUCA